RNAcentral lists this ribosomal RNA (537 nucleotides) under Triticum aestivum (bread wheat). RNAcentral's name for it is "partial small subunit ribosomal RNA". The record is from RNAcentral. Lineage: Eukaryota; Viridiplantae; Streptophyta; Magnoliopsida; Poales; Poaceae.
AUGAAGAACAUGGGCCUACUGGAAGGGGAACUUGACGAGGUCUAUGUGGGAGAAGAGCAGAUUAGGAAGAUCACAAAGGAGGUGGACGACAACUUGUUCAUGAUCCAUGUUUUGAGCCUUGGAGAUUGGAAGCGGGUAAUGUUCCACAAUCCAUGGAUCUUUCGUCGCCUUAUGGUGCUAAGCGAGGAGUUUGAUGGUAAACACGCAUUAGAAUCGAUAAAUUUGCAGAGGCCGUCGGUUUGGGCUCAAAUUCAUAAAAUCCCAAACCUAUACCGGAAGGAACCCAUAGUUGAUCAGUUGGCAAGGAGAAUCGGCAUGGUCCGGAGUGCCGAGCUCAAUCCAACUUGGUACUUUGAAGGGAAUUAUGUGCGUGUGCGGGCAAGCAUAGAUGUCUCAAAGCUGUUAAUUUGUUGGACCCCCAUGAAUCUCGCCGGUUCCGUGGGAGGGGCCGAGGUGGCCAUGGUGCACCUCGGAAGAGAAACUCAAAGGAGACAGGUUUUCGAGGAGAGUGAGGAUGAUUUGGACAUAGUCCAUUGA